UACCCAUUCGAAAAUAUAAAUCUUGUCUUCUUCAAGCGCAUCAUCAUAGUUUGGUCGGCCAGCUAAAAUCUCCAAUAAGACCACGCCAAAUGCGAAGACAUCAACUUUCUCAGUCAUACGGCCUCUCAUGGCAUACUCAGGUGCAAGAUAACCACUGGACAAAGGAGAGCCAAAAAUCUCAUUAGCUUUAGUACUCCGUAGUUUGUAAAGACAAAGGUGAGAAAGAUGGAAUGAACUUACAAUGUACCAGCAACUUUCGUGCUGACAUGCGUUUUCUUGUCAUCAUAAAGUUUGGCCAGCCCGAAAUCUGAGAUCUUAGGAUUGAGAUUGGCAUCAAGUAAGACAUUACUGGCCUUGAUGUCCCUGUGAAUAACACGGAUGCUGGACUCUUCAUGAAGAUAAGCCAGACCUCUUGCAAUGCCUAAGCAUAUCUCAAAACGUGCUGGCCAGUCAAUGUUCAAUUUCUCAGUUCCUGCAAAUGAA
This 483-nucleotide small RNA is filed under the name Oryza sativa Japonica Group (Japanese rice). RNAcentral's name for it is "sRNA Os04g0616650". Lineage: Eukaryota; Viridiplantae; Streptophyta; Magnoliopsida; Poales; Poaceae. The record is from RNAcentral.